GAUGAAGGGGUGCAAGCUGCCGUAGCGACCCAAGAAGAGAUCCAAAUUCGUCCAAAAAUGCAUACUCUUGGUGAGUCCUGGAGCAUGGCUGUCAGAUCUCUCACAGGAGAGGUAUGUAGUCAGGGAGAAGAAGGGAUCAAGAAAGAGGAGAAGAGGAUUAAAGGCCUUGUCCAUGGAGAGUGAUUCAGAAUGAAGCAAAAGGGAGAGAUGCCCGAGUUGGGAAGCUUUUAGAACAAGUGAAAUGAGUUCAGGCUUGUAUCAAUCAGAC
Molecule: long non-coding RNA, 268 nt
Organism: Zingiber officinale
Lineage: Eukaryota; Viridiplantae; Streptophyta; Magnoliopsida; Zingiberales; Zingiberaceae
Exons: 4
Source: RefSeq, a predicted model, not a curated record